UAGGGAAUCUUCCACAAUGGACGCAAGUCUGAUGGAGCAACGCCGCGUGAGUGAAGAAGGUUUUCGGACCGUAAAGCUCUGUUGUUGGUGAAGAAGGAUAGAGGUAGUAACUGGCCUUUAUUUGACGGUAAUCAACCAGAAAGUCACGGCUAACUACGUGCCAGCAGCCGCGGUAAUCGUAGGUGGCAAGCGUUGUCCGGAUUUAUUGGGCGUAAAGCGAGCGCAGGCGGAAGAAUAAGUCUGAUGUGAAAGCCCUCGGCUUAACCGAGGAAUUGCAUCGGAAACUGUUUU
RNAcentral lists this ribosomal RNA (291 nucleotides) under uncultured bacterium. Its description in RNAcentral is "partial 16S ribosomal RNA". It matches the Rfam family "Bacterial small subunit ribosomal RNA", at positions 355 to 639 of the family's 1533-position model. The record is from RNAcentral.